CGGGUUGUAAAGCACUUUCAGUCGUGAGGAAGGUAGUGUAGUCAAUAGCUGCAUUAUUUGACGUUAGCGACAGAAGAAAGCACCGGCUAACUCCGUGCCAGCAGCCGCGGUAAUACGGAGGGUGCGAGCGUUAAUCGGAAUUACUGGGCGUAAAGACGCAUGCAGGUGGUUUGUUUAAGUCAGAUGUGAAAGACCCGGGGCGUCAACCUCGGAAUAGCAUUUGAAACUAGGCAGACUAGAGUACUGUAGAGGGGGGUAGGAAUUUCAGGUGUAGCGGUGAAAUGCGUAGAGAUCUGAAGGAAUACCGGUGGCGAAGGCGGCCCCCUCGGACAGAUACUGACACUCAGAUGCGAAAGCGUGGGGAGCAAACAGGAUUAGAUACCCUGGUAG
Molecule: ribosomal RNA, 390 nt
Filed under: uncultured bacterium
Lineage: Bacteria
Description: bacterial SSU rRNA
Rfam family: Bacterial small subunit ribosomal RNA
Source: RNAcentral